This is a long non-coding RNA of Halichondria panicea, 2049 nucleotides long. RefSeq lists it as uncharacterized. NCBI's taxonomy places the organism in Eukaryota, Metazoa, Porifera, Demospongiae, Suberitida, Halichondriidae. The record is from RefSeq and is a predicted model, not a curated record. The transcript has 3 exons.
GGCUGACACUGUACUGUAGACUCCAUACAUGUAUAUUGAGGAUGUGGGGAAGGGGAAACUUUAUAGAGUUGCAUAAAACUGUGACAGCACAAGGUACACAAAGUAACACAAUUUGUAGCUAGCUACCAGUUGCACACAACACAAGAUAUGGAUCUCAACUUUUCACUUUGCUUGGCUGUUCUACUGAUUCUACGAGUCUCCGUAACUUUUGCUUAUCAUACUAGCUGGAGUCCAUCAAGUAUACUCCUGAUAAUAGCGAGAGUCCAUCAAGUACUCCGGAUAAUAGCGAGAGUCCAUCAAGUACUCCGGAUAAUAGCGAGAGUCCAUCAAGUACUCCUGAUAACAACACACACACUGAAGGUCCCCUGCUCUACACUAUGCAACCAGUGAGCCAAUAUUCUUGCAACCCGUACAUUGAUGGACCUAAGCAACUAUAAUCUGUGCCCUCUACCAGCGUGGAGGUCUAUCCAAUCACACCAUCCGCUGGUUUAGAAGCUCUAACAACUCCGGUAAUAUUGAAAGCUAUUGACCCCUCAGAGUAGGUAAUGAGGCCAUUAUCCACGGCCGGGAGGUCAUCACAAACAGCUAUAUAAACAUAAUUAUGGACAACAUAAAUAAAAGCUUGAUAAUACAGCAGAGUUGCUAUAGUUACAUUCCCCUUAGGUUAGAAUUGGCUCUGUAACUAGAGUUCUGCGAUUCACUCAACAAUUUUCUGAAAACUUAUAGAAGGAGCCAAUUUAGAACGGGCCAGAAAAAAACCUGUCAAAAAAACAUGCCAUCUAAAAGCCUGCAUGCUUCUAAGCCUUCAAUAAAGAGUUCCACAGAAUGUGUAUACAGCUAUUAAAUAACCAUUAUACUAAUAGCUGCUUUCUGUAGAACUCUUUACCUAGCACAUGCAGUUGUAUGUAUAGCCUCGAUUCCAGGCCGCACUGAUGAGGCCUUGUGAAGGAGGCUAUGUUGUAUUAGAUCUAGUUCUCUCAUUAGUUUAAAGCACUCUAAUCUCACCUAUAAUACCUUAAUUAUUGACCUCUCAUUAUUAUAGCAGUAGAUCUAUUUAUAUUUGUGUUUUGGGGAGCACCCUUGAGAGGCCUACAGCCUAUUGUGCUUCCCUUCCUUUGCUGGAUAAAACAUCAUUCAGAGGCCUAGCAGCCUAUUGUGCUUCCCUUCCUUUGCUGGAUAAAAUAUCAUUCAUUCAUUCAUCACUUUCAGUUACAAUAUACAUUGUGACUGUGAGACUUUGAGUUCUAACACAUGACAUGUCUAUAAAAGUAGUUUAGAUGAUCUACAGAGUUAGAGGUAAGAUAUAUAGAGCUAGCUAUAGACUGCAUGUAUGCUAUGAUAGGGCUUCACCAAUUCUUGCUGUGUACACUGCUGCCUCUAGCUCUCUGCUGUAGAGAACAUGACCAGAGCUACAGAGUGGAUGAGGCAAGGGAGGAGGAUAGAUCUAGUACUCCCUGUCUCUACAAUCCUACUGAUACAUCUCUCAACCUUGGUGAUCUGCGAAGAUGGCUAACAUCUGUCACGUCUGAGUUUAGCCACACUUACGUUACUCCUGACGAUGGUACCACAAUGUUUAGGGAAUCUUCCAUCUUUAAAGCUGAUGUUGCUUUCGCUUCGUCUGGAAUUAAACCGAAACAGAUAUGGACGAACAAUUCUCCUUGUUGUAUCCCGUUAUUCUUGGACAAAUUCAAACCUUCUGCUUUUUCAUCUUUCACAAUAUAUGUUAGCCAUAUCUCAUCCAUGGGGAGUGCUAAUGAGCUAGAAUGUAUGGCGAAGUUGGUUGCUAACAACAUCAAAGUCGUGAGCAUGGAUUGGGAGAAGUUUGCUAAUUCCUUGACCAAGAAUUGCAAAGAAGAAAUCAUGAGCACUCUCCACAGUAAUGCAAACUUCAAAGAAGCUCAAGAAGUUCUCGAUAAACAGAUUCAGCUGAUAAAUUACUUGAGUACAAGGCCGACUGUUAGUCAGUUUUGUAAGUAGCUUAAUUUGAGGUUGUUUUUAAUUGAUCUGCUUUUGCAUUCACAAAAAUUGUAAUAAAAAUGUACUAAGCUA